CUCUCUAGCUAUACAGGGAGAGUAGGUUUUUUUCUCUCUCUAAAAAAAUCUCAGAUCUAUAUAUGUACAGAAAUAGAUAUACGUUUCCAUGAGUUUGCAUUUGCGGCAGCCUCUCAUUCGCUUGGUGCAGGUCGGGACCUCUCUCGCCGGCGACAAUGGCGGUAGCUGACGGCGACGGCAGCGUACCGGUAAAAACUUUUUUUUAAAAAUGUUGUUUAUGAUGACGUUUGGGUCCCGCCUUGCAUCAACUGAAUCGGAGACUGCGGUGAAUUUUAUUUCGAUGAAAUCAGCUUUGUUAUGAAUCGAUCUAAUAUCUACAGCUUGUUUCACAUGAGGUAAUAGUAGCUGUUUUCCUUGGACCGACUUUAAGACAUGAAGCAAGGAUGGACUAUGUGUGGUCGAAGGUAACAUUCCAAGGAUACAAGGCCACUAGCAGAGGAUGGUGUGUACUAAAUUAGUUACCAUGUGAAACUGAUACUACAAGGUGGACUCGGAAAAUGUAAAAUGUGACCCCUCCUGUUUCUUGUAGUUCCAUUUUGUUCACAUUUGUAUGUAACCUUUAAGCCACAUAUAUUUGGUUGCCUAAUGCUGUGAAUGAAGAAGUUUUUGCUGUA
This is a long non-coding RNA of Solanum dulcamara, 614 nucleotides long. RefSeq lists it as uncharacterized. Lineage: Eukaryota; Viridiplantae; Streptophyta; Magnoliopsida; Solanales; Solanaceae. The record is from RefSeq and is a predicted model, not a curated record. The transcript is spliced from 2 exons.